GCCGCGAUAGUUCAGCUGGUAGAACAUUCCCAUGGUAAGGGAAAGGUCACGGGUUCGAUCCCCGUUCGUGGCU
Molecule: transfer RNA, 73 nt
Filed under: candidate division CPR1 bacterium ADurb.Bin160
Lineage: Bacteria; candidate division CPR1
Also listed under: 1 other name
Description: tRNA-Thr
Rfam family: tRNA
About the family: Transfer RNA (tRNA) molecules are approximately 80 nucleotides in length. Their secondary structure includes four short double-helical elements and three loops (D, anti-codon, and T loops).
Source: RNAcentral